CAUGGAGGUCUGGAUUUCGAGUCACACUCAAAAUUAAAGUGGAAAAACACACUACAGGCUGAUCCAACUUUGACGUAAUGUCCUUAAAAACAAGUCAAAAUGAGGCUCAGUUGUGUGUGUGGCCUCCACAUGCCUGUAUGACCUCCCUACAACGCCUGUGCAUGCUCCUGAUGCGGUGGCGGAUGGUCUCCUGAAAGAUCUCCUCCCAGACCUGGACUAAAGCAUCUGCCAACUCCUGGACAGUCUGUGGUGCAACGUGAUGUUGGUGUAUGGAGCGAGACAUGAUGUCCCAGAUGUGCUCAAUUGGAUUCAGGUCUGGGGAACGGGUGGGCCAGUCCAUAACAUCAAUGCCUUCGUCUUGCAGGAAGUGCUGACACACUCCAGCCACAUGAGGUCUAGCAUUGUCUUGCAUUAAGAGGAACCCAGGGCCAACUGCACCAGCAUAUGAUCAAGGGGUCUGAGGAUCUCAUCUCGGUACCUAAUGGCAGUCAGGCUACCUCUGGCAAGCACAUAGAGAGCUGUAUGGCCCCCAAAAGAAAUGCCACCCCACACCAUUACUGACCCACUGCCAAACCAGUCAUGCUGGAGGAUGUUGCAGGCAGCAGAACGUUCUCCAUGGCGUCUCCAGACUCUGUCACGUCUGUCACAUGUGCUCAGUGUGAACCUGCUUUCAUCUGUGAAGAGCUCAGGGCACCAGUGGCGAAUUUGCCAAUCUUGGUGUUCUCUUGCAAAUGCCAAACGUCCUGCAUGGUGUUGGGCUGUAAGCACAACCCCCACCUGUGGACGUCGUGCCCUCAUACAACCCUCAUGGAAUCUCUUUCUGACCAUUUGAGCAGACACACGCACAUUUGUGGCCUGCUGGAGGUCAUUUUGCAGGGCUCUGGCAGUGCUCCUCCUGUUCCUCCUUCCACAAAGGCGGAGGUAGCGGUCCUGCUGCUGGGUUGUUGCCCUCCUACGUCCUCCUCCACGUCUCCUGAUGUACUGGCCUGUCUCCUGGUAGCGCCUCCAUGCUCUGGACACUACGCUGACAGACACAGCAAACCUUCUUGCCACAGCUCGCAUUGAUGUGCCAUCCUGGAUGAGCUGCACUAUCUGAGCCACUUGUGUGGGUUGUAGACUCCGUCUCAUGCUACCACUAUAGUGAAAGCACCUCAGCAUUCAAAAGUGACCAAACCAUCAGCCAGGAAGCAUAGGAACUGAGGAGUGGUCUGUGGUCACCACCUGCAGAACCACUCCUUUAUUGGGGGUGUCUUGCUAAUUGCCUAUAAAUUCCACCUGUUGUCUAUCCCAUUUGCACAACAGCAUGUGAAAUUGAUUGUCACUCAGUGUUGCUUCCUAAGUGGACAGUUUGAUUUCACAGAAGUGUGAUUGACUUGGAGUUACAUUGUGUUGUUUAAGUGUUCCCUUUAUUUUUUUGAGCAGUGUACAUUUAACAUAUCCAGGCCUCUUCAUUCUGUCACUAUUUUAACUGUUUUAGUUUUAACCUCUCCUCCACUUUGGGUAACUUCCUAGUUCUGGUAUAUUGCUUCACCCAGUACACUAUGGGAUUGUGAUGGUUGUCUAUUUCUCAGGCUGUUUUUUCUUAUACAUACUUUAGGUCCUUCUAAUGGAAGGAUGCGCAGUGGGAACUCAUGCCUAGAUUCAGUACAUCAGGUAUUCAGCAUUCGAGGUAAUCUGGUAAUUUUGAGUUACUCCACUUGUUUGCAAUGUUAUGUUUUGAUAUGCCUUUCUAUCACAAUGCUUACUUGCUCCAAACUUGCGUCUGUUUGUCCUCAACUCAAUUUGUGAGUGUACCCUCGCCUUGACACAUACUUAACAUGUUGUUUAUG
Pelobates cultripes (western spadefoot toad) is the source of this 1829-nucleotide non-coding RNA. The record is from the annotation of a GenBank genome assembly. Lineage: Eukaryota; Metazoa; Chordata; Amphibia; Anura; Pelobatidae.